Molecule: ribosomal RNA, 537 nt
Filed under: Streptomyces pratensis
Lineage: Bacteria; Bacillati; Actinomycetota; Actinomycetes; Kitasatosporales; Streptomycetaceae
Description: bacterial SSU rRNA
Rfam family: Bacterial small subunit ribosomal RNA
Source: RNAcentral
GCGAACGGGUGAGUAACACGUGGGCAAUCUGCCCUUCACUCUGGGACAAGCCCUGGAAACGGGGUCUAAUACCGGAUAACACUCUGUCCCGCAUGGGACGGGGUUAAAAGCUCCGGCGGUGAAGGAUGAGCCCGCGGCCUAUCAGCUUGUUGGUGGGGUAAUGGCCUACCAAGGCGACGACGGGUAGCCGGCCUGAGAGGGCGACCGGCCACACUGGGACUGAGACACGGCCCAGACUCCUACGGGAGGCAGCAGUGGGGAAUAUUGCACAAUGGGCGAAAGCCUGAUGCAGCGACGCCGCGUGAGGGAUGACGGCCUUCGGGUUGUAAACCUCUUUCAGCAGGGAAGAAGCGAAAGUGACGGUACCUGCAGAAGAAGCGCCGGCUAACUACGUGCCAGCAGCCGCGGUAAUACGUAGGGCGCAAGCGUUGUCCGGAAUUAUUGGGCGUAAAGAGCUCGUAGGCGGCUUGUCACGUCGGAUGUGAAAGCCCGGGGCUUAACCCCGGGUCUGCAUUCGAUACGGGCUAGCUAGAGUGU